GGCAUCAGUAUUCCGUUGUCAGAGGUGAAAUUCUUGGAUUUACGGAAGAAAACUACUGCGAAAGCAUUUGCCAAGGAUGUUUUCAUUAAUCAUUGAACGAAAGUUAGGGAAUCGAAAACAAUCAAAUACCGUCGAAGUCUUAACCGUAAACUAUGCCAACUAGGGAUCGGGCGAUGUUCUUUUUCUGACUCGCUCGGCCCCUUACGAAAAAUCAAAGUUUUUGGGCUCUGGGGGGAUUAUGGUCGCGAGGCUGAAACUUAAAGAAAUUGACGGAAGGUCACCCCCAGGCGGGGAGCCUGCGGUUUAAUUUGACUCAACACGGGGAAACUCACCGGGCCCAGAUGAAAUAAGGAUUGACAGAUUGAGAG
RNAcentral lists this ribosomal RNA (368 nucleotides) under Alternaria botrytis. RNAcentral describes it as "SSU rRNA". It matches the Rfam family "Eukaryotic small subunit ribosomal RNA", at positions 887 to 1254 of the family's 1831-position model. Lineage: Eukaryota; Fungi; Ascomycota; Dothideomycetes; Pleosporales; Pleosporaceae. The record is from RNAcentral.